Molecule: transfer RNA, 73 nt
Filed under: Anaerolineae bacterium
Lineage: Bacteria; Bacillati; Chloroflexota; Anaerolineae
Description: tRNA-Thr
Rfam family: tRNA
About the family: Transfer RNA (tRNA) molecules are approximately 80 nucleotides in length. Their secondary structure includes four short double-helical elements and three loops (D, anti-codon, and T loops).
Source: RNAcentral
GCCGACGUAGCUCAAUUGGCAGAGCAGGCGUUUUGUAAACGUCUGGUUAUGGGUUCGAGUCCCUUCGUCGGCU